CCUACGGGGCGCAGCAGUGGGGAAUAUUGCACAAUGGGGGAAACCCUGAUGCAGCGACGCCGCGUGAGUGAAGAAGUAUUUCGGUACGUAAAGCUCUAUCAGCAGGGAAGAAAAUGACUGUACCUGACUAAGAAGCCCCGGCUAACUACGUGCCAGCAGCCGCGGUAAUACGUAGGGGGCAAGCGUUAUCCGGAUUUACUGGGUGUAAAGGGAGCGUAGACGGCAGCGCAAGUCUGGAGUGAAAUCCCAUGGCUUAACCAUGGAACUGCUUUGGAAACUGUGCAGCUAGAGUGCAGGAGAGGUAAGCGGAAUUCCUAGUGUAGCGGUGAAAUGCGUAGAUAUUAGGAGGAACACCAGUGGCGAAGGCGGCUUACUGGACUGUAACUGACGUUGAGGCUCGAAAGCGUGGGGAGCAAACAGGAUUAGAUACCCCAGUAGUC
This 440-nucleotide ribosomal RNA is filed under the name uncultured bacterium. RNAcentral describes it as "partial 16S ribosomal RNA". It matches the Rfam family "Bacterial small subunit ribosomal RNA", at positions 338 to 795 of the family's 1533-position model. The record is from RNAcentral.